RNAcentral lists this non-coding RNA (191 nucleotides) under Alkalithermobacter paradoxus. RNAcentral describes it as "Clostridium thermoalcaliphilum T-box sequence". It matches the Rfam family "T-box leader". Rfam says of the family: Uncharged tRNA acts as the effector for transcription antitermination of genes in the T-box leader family. The record is from RNAcentral. Lineage: Bacteria; Bacillati; Bacillota; Clostridia; Peptostreptococcales; Tepidibacteraceae.
GUUUAAAAGAUAAACUGGAGUAGUAAAGAAAAUGACUUUUACAGAGAGCUGAUGGUUGGUGUGAAUCAGUAAAGUUUAUUCUUGAACUUGCCAGUAGUAAAUUAUCUUAAGGUUAGCUUCCUUUAUAGAGCUACUGAGAUGGCUUUUAGCUAAAUUAGGGUGGUACCGCGAGAUGACUCCUCGUCCCUAAA